This 807-nucleotide ribosomal RNA is filed under the name uncultured archaeon. RNAcentral's name for it is "bacterial SSU rRNA". It matches the Rfam family "Archaeal small subunit ribosomal RNA", at positions 83 to 874 of the family's 1478-position model. The record is from RNAcentral.
ACGGGCUCAGUAACACGUGGCUAACCUGCCCUUAGGACGGAAACAUCCCCGGGAAACUGGGGCUAAUUUCCGAUAGGUGAAGACUCCUGGAAUGGAUUUUCGCCGAAAAGGCGCUUAGGGCAUGCUUCUAGGUGUUGCCCAAGGAUGGGGCCGCGGCCGAUCAGGUUGUUGGUGAGGUAAUGGCUCACCAAGCCUUUAACCGGUACGGGCCGUGGGAGCGGUAGCCCGGAGAUGGGCACUGAGACAAGGGCCCAGGCCCUACGGGGCGCAGCAGUCGCGAAAACUUCGCAAUAAGCGAAAGCUUGACGGGGCCAUCCCGAGUGCCAUCUGCUGAGGAUGGCUUUUACCCAGUAUAGAUAGCUGGGGGAAUAAGGAGAGGGCAAGUCUGGUGUCAGCCGCCGCGGUAAUACCAGCUCUCCGAGUUGUAGGGAUGUUUAUUGGGCCUAAAGCAUCCGUAGCCGGCUGGACAAGUCCUCUGUUAAAUCCAGCGACCAAUCGUUGGCCUGCGGGGGAUACUGUCCGGCUAGGGGGCGGGAGAGGCCGUCGGUAUUCCUGGGGUAGGGGUGAAAUCCUAUAAUCCCAGGAGGACCACCAGUGGCGAAGGCUGUCGGCUAGAACGCGCCCGACGGUGAGGGAUGAAAGCUGGGGGAGCGAACCGGAUUAGAUACCCCGGGUAGUCCCAGCUGUAAACGAUGCAGGCUAGGUGUUAGGGCGGCUACGUGCCGCUCUAGUGCCGCAGGGAAGCUGUUAAGCCUGCCGCCUGGGGAGUACGGCCGCAAGGCUGAAACUUAAAGGAAUUGGCCGGGG